GGCCUUCGGAUUGUAUAGUACUGUCUUUGGGGAAUAACGACUGAUUUGAAAAUAUUGAGUCAGUAUGACGGUACCCAAGGAGGAAGCCCCGGCUAACUACGUGCCAGCAGCCGCGGUAAUACGUAGGGGGCAAGCGUUGUCCGGAAUUAUUGGGCGUAAAGGGCGCGUAGGCGGAUUUUUAAGUCUGGUGUGAAAGAUCAGGGCUCAACCCUGAGAGUGCAUCGGAAACUGGAGAUCUUGAGGACAGGAGAGGAAAGUGGAAUUCCACGUGUAGCGGUGAAAUGCGUAGAUAUGUGGAGGAACACCAGUGGCGAAGGCGACUUUCUGGACUGUAACUGACGCUGAGGCGCGAAAGCGUGGGGAGCAAACAGGAUUAGAUACCCUGGUAGUCCACGCUGUAAACGAUGAGUGCUAGGUGUAGAGGGUAUCGACCCCUUCUGUGCCGCAGUUAACACAAUAAGCACUCCGCCUGGGGAGUACGGCCGCAAGGUUGAAACUCAAAUGAAUUGACGG
Molecule: ribosomal RNA, 513 nt
Filed under: uncultured Desulfosporosinus sp.
Lineage: Bacteria; Bacillati; Bacillota; Clostridia; Eubacteriales; Desulfitobacteriaceae
Description: bacterial SSU rRNA
Rfam family: Bacterial small subunit ribosomal RNA
Source: RNAcentral